AGCGAACGCUGGCGGCAGGCCUAACACAUGCAAGUCGAACGAACCUUUCGGGGUUAGUGGCGGACGGGUGAGUAACACGUGGGAACGUGCCUUUAGGUUCGGAAUAACUCAGGGAAACUUGUGCUAAUACCGAAUGUGCCCUUCGGGGGAAAGAUUAAUCGCCUUUAGAGCGGCCCGCGUCUGAUUAGCUAGUUGGUUGAGGUAAUGGCUCACCAAGGCGACGAUCAGUAGCUGGUCUGAGAGGAUGAUCAGCCACAUUGGGACUGAGACACGGCCCAAACUCCUACGGGAAGCAGCAGUGGGGGAUCUUGCGCAAUGGGCGAAAGCCUGACGCAGCCAUGCCGCGUGAAUGAUGAAGGUCGUAGGAUUGUAAAAUUCUUUCACCGGGGACGAUAAUGACGGUACCCGGAGAAGAAGCCCCGGCUAACUUCGUG
Molecule: ribosomal RNA, 434 nt
Filed under: uncultured bacterium
Lineage: Bacteria
Description: partial 16S ribosomal RNA
Rfam family: Bacterial small subunit ribosomal RNA
Source: RNAcentral